Molecule: long non-coding RNA, 523 nt
Filed under: Hordeum vulgare
Lineage: Eukaryota; Viridiplantae; Streptophyta; Magnoliopsida; Poales; Poaceae
Description: long non-coding RNA (HVUL_LNC021078)
Source: RNAcentral
UCUAAGACUUGAGCGUAAUCAUCUCUCCCAAGGAUAUGGACACAUUAAUGAUUAUGUAAAAGUGGUAACCCCACUUGUGCUUAACGAUGAGUAUGACCUAUGAUCAAGUAUUCUUACUUGGCUCCUAUGUCAAUAUACUCAUAUAUAGAUGACUUUGUCAUCUCCCAAGUGCUUGAUAGCUACUAGGAUGUGUGUGCAUGUUCACCAUGAUUUAUUCAUCAUUCUUAUUGUGUGAGCAUGUUGGUCUGUAUGUGUUUGAUCAUUCGAGGACAUCCAAUUGUUGUUAUUUGGCUUUUGAUUUAUCUUUUGCCAAUUGGAUGGACAAGAAUGCCUAGGACCCUUCUCUAGCUAUCUAUGCUAUCUCAUCUCAAGUUUUAUUCAUGCUUCAUCAGAAAACUUGAACAAGCACUUGUCGAUCCCUCUGUGUGAAGGUGCACUUGGAGAUUCGUAUAGUCAAAGGCUGCCUUCCAAAACCUCCUUGAAAAACUCAAUGUGACCCACUCCUCAAACUCGGCGCCAUCAN